AUUUAUAUAGUUUAUCUAUAAAUAAAACCCCUUAUUUUCAAUAAGGAAAAAAGAGCAUAUCUUUAUAAAUA
RNAcentral lists this transfer RNA (71 nucleotides) under Hippotiscus dorsalis. RNAcentral's name for it is "tRNA-Glu". Lineage: Eukaryota; Metazoa; Arthropoda; Insecta; Hemiptera; Pentatomidae. The record is from RNAcentral.